UACGAAGGAUCCAAGCGUUAUCCGGAAUCAUUGGGUUUAAAGGGUCCGUAGGCGGUCUUGUAAGUCAGUGGUGAAAGCCCAUCGCUCAACGGUGGAACGGCCAUUGAUACUGCAAGACUUGAAUUAUUGGGAAGUAACUAGAAUAUGUAGUGUAGCGGUGAAAUGCUUAGAUAUUACAUGGAAUACCAAUUGCGAAGGCAGGUUACUACCAAUACAUUGACGCUGAUGGACGAAAGCGUGGGGAGCGAACAGG
RNAcentral lists this ribosomal RNA (253 nucleotides) under uncultured bacterium. RNAcentral's name for it is "partial 16S ribosomal RNA". It matches the Rfam family "Bacterial small subunit ribosomal RNA", at positions 524 to 776 of the family's 1533-position model. The record is from RNAcentral.